Molecule: transfer RNA, 74 nt
Filed under: Oxobacter pfennigii
Lineage: Bacteria; Bacillati; Bacillota; Clostridia; Eubacteriales; Clostridiaceae
Rfam family: tRNA
About the family: Transfer RNA (tRNA) molecules are approximately 80 nucleotides in length.
Source: Rfam by way of RNAcentral
GCGCCCGUAGCUCAGUUGGAUAGAGUUCCUGAUUCCGAGUCAGUAGGUCGCAGGUUCGAAUCCUGUCGGGCGCA